UCGAGAAUCUUCGUCAAUGGGCGAAAGCCUGAACGAGCGAUGCCGCGUGCGGGAUGGAGGCCUUCGGGUUGUAAACCGCUGUCGAAUUGGAAGAAAUGCAUAGUGUAGAAUUAUGCUUGACUGAUAGUUGGAGGAAGGACGGGCUAAGUUCGUGCCAGCAGCCGCGGUAACACGAACCGUCCAAACGUUAUUCGGAAUCACUGGGCUUAAAGGGUGCGUAGGCGGCGUAUUAAGUAAGGUGUGAAAUCCCUCGUCUCAACCGGGGAACUGCGCUUUAUACUGGUAUGCUUGAGUGAGAUAGAGGUAAGCGGAACUGAUAGUGGAGCGGUGAAAUGCGUUGAUAUUAUCAGGAACACCAGAGGCGAAGGCGGCUUACUGGGUCUCAACUGACGCUGAUGCACGAAAGUCAGGGUAGCGAAGAGG
This 423-nucleotide ribosomal RNA is filed under the name uncultured bacterium. Its description in RNAcentral is "bacterial SSU rRNA". It matches the Rfam family "Bacterial small subunit ribosomal RNA", at positions 355 to 776 of the family's 1533-position model. The record is from RNAcentral.